Long non-coding RNA from Bubalus bubalis (water buffalo), 2170 nucleotides. RefSeq lists it as uncharacterized. Lineage: Eukaryota; Metazoa; Chordata; Mammalia; Artiodactyla; Bovidae. The transcript is spliced from 2 exons. The record is from RefSeq and is a predicted model, not a curated record.
CUGCUUUUCCAUUUGCCACAUGAUGCUUCUGACCAGCAAUGUCGAUACAGGCAAUAUUUGGGGAAUCUCAGAGCAAGACAGUUCAGAUGUGAGUCUGGUGACCAGAAGAGAACUAAGGACCAAAUGUCUAGAUUUGGAAAAUAACAUAAAACUGUUACUUAAAAAUCUACAAGAGUAGAAGAAAAUGUGUAAUGAUUGUGAGUGUGGCUAGAAGAACCUAAAACAAACUUGAUACUGGGCAAGCCGAGGAACAGGAGGAGGAAAAUCUCAUGAAGGAGCACUCAGAGAAGAGACCAACACAGACACCAUUGGUGAUCACUCCCCAGGAGGUGUUGAUGGGAAGGUCACAGUGGUGAUAGGACACAGGAGGACGGUCUCUCUGCCGGCUUUUUCAGGCUCGCCAUGACGACACACAAGCACAAGGGGUAUUGGCUGCUGACUCUUCAUCGUGGAUGCACCUGCCUUCAGCUGCUAAAGAGGAAGGGACACGCAGAGGCAGCGAAGAGGAUGUGCCUGCAUUUUUAAAUAAACUGCCUUGUGAUGCAGAAGGCCUAUGAAACAUUUUCGAUAUUGAACCCGAGGUACAUGGAAAAUUACUCACAUGGUUUUAUUUUUUCCCCCCCUGACGACUCUAGUAAUCCAAAGGGAAAUUAUUCUGGUUGAAUGACUCAUCUAAAACACGUUUUUUGACUGUAUCUUGGCCAAGGAAGAAUCUAUUCAGAGAUAACAAUUUAUUAUUUAACAUUUUGACAGGUCUACAGAAGUACAAGUCAAUUGAGUCCAAAUAAAGAAAUGUGCUAUUUUUAACAAAUUCUAGAUGUUCUUGGCGGAAGGUAGGCUAGACUUCGUCAGAGGGAAGAAACAGGUUUAUGAUCUUUUUCCUUCAGGUCUUCAAUUAAAACUUGAUAAUCAAAAUAAUACUUUAAAAGAGAAGCCAAGAAAUAGCCUUAGAAAUGCUUAUGAAGAUAUGAUAAAAGGUAAACAAGAGUGAAAGAAAGAAAGAGAGAGAGAGAAAGGAAGGGAGGAAAAAGGGAAAGAAGAAGAAGCAACUGUGCCCUGGAACUAGAAAUAGAUGUGCUUGAAAUACAGAAAUUGGAAUAUUUCCAUUACUUCAUCCUUAUUAUUGCAUAGAUUAUGAGACGAGAUCUCAUACAUUAUAAUAUGCUUUUAUUUCCCUAUAAUAAAGGUAUUUCAUCUUUUAUAGAUGAAAAAUACUAUCCUGUUGGAACUCAUCCCAGUGGUAACAAACCUAAAAUGGGAUUUUUAUAUUUUCAUAAUGUUUUCAAACAUUUCAUAUGCUUCAUUUAAGCCACCACUUCCCUGGUGGAUCAGAUGGUAAAGAAUCUUCCUGCCAAUGCAGGAGACGAGAGUUUGAUCACUGCGUCGGGAAGAUCCCCUGGAGAAGGGAAUGGCAACCCACUCCAGUUUUCUUGCCUGGAGAAUUCCACGGAUAGAGGAGCCUGGUAGGCUACAGUUCAUGGGGCCGCAAAGAGUCAGACACAACUGAAUGACUUUCACUUCACUUUAUUUAAGAAGCAUGCAUUCUCAGUGUAGGACACACAUUAUUAUUCCUGUUUUACUGAUGAGGCAAUGACAACCAAGGUCAUAUAGCAACAUAAUAAAGUUGGAAUACACCUCCUCAAUAACAAAUCCAUUACAACAUACUGCCUCUUUAGACCAGAACUUACUGUAUUUGGGGCUACACACUUUCUGUCCUUUUCUUUCUUUCUCCUGAGCACAGAGUCCUUGAAAAGUUCUGUUUGAUACAUACAAUUUUUUAUCUUUCUUCUGAGGGGGUGACAAAUGAGGGUUUUGUUCCCUUUGUAGUGAAAAUGGUAUUAUGUUGCACUUUUAAGGCUCAAAGGAGAAUUGGCCAAAUUUUACCUUUUAACUUUACCUGUAGUAACUUAUACUCUGGUUAAUUGCAGCAACAUUGGAGAAAUUAACAUAGGUAUGUCAUGAUAAUUGGAUAUAGAUACUCAUAAAUUCAAAAUAAGAGUGAUUAAUCAUACCAUUAUAUAACAAUCUGAUUCCUAUCUCUUUUUCUUUUCUUGUAUUUCAUAGUUUAGCUCUUUAUUAUCAUGUGUUUCAUGUUUAGGUCUUGGUUUACCAACACAUAAAUAAGUUGAAUGUAGGAUUUCUCAUUUCUCUUGUUACCCUACAGCUGAAG